Molecule: long non-coding RNA, 265 nt
Organism: Drosophila ficusphila
Lineage: Eukaryota; Metazoa; Arthropoda; Insecta; Diptera; Drosophilidae
Exons: 2
Source: RefSeq, a predicted model, not a curated record
CGAAAAAUAAAACAUCCAAUAUACCAAAGCAAAAUCAAAAUUAAACAAACUUUGUUUUUUUCUGUUUGUUCGAGUGCCACAAAUUUUGAACAUCGUUUUGUCGAAAAAAAUAAAUAGAAAACAAAAAACGGCAACAAAUAUCUAAGCUAAUAAGAACAGCUGUGAGAGAACCGCCCCCACUUUCUCGCCCCCCGCCACCCACAAAAUUUAGCGUCCUCUUCUGUUUUCGUUUCGCUUUUUUCGCCCGUGUUUUUGUGGGCUUUUC